RNAcentral lists this ribosomal RNA (491 nucleotides) under uncultured bacterium. RNAcentral's name for it is "partial 16S ribosomal RNA". It matches the Rfam family "Bacterial small subunit ribosomal RNA", at positions 29 to 507 of the family's 1533-position model. The record is from RNAcentral.
AUUGAACGCUGGCGGCAUGCUUUACACAUGCAAGUCGAACGGUAACAGGCCUUCGGGUGCUGACGAGUGGCGAACGGGUGAGUAAUGCAUCGGAACGUACCCAGAGGUGGGGGAUAACGCAGCGAAAGCUGUGCUAAUACCGCAUGUGAUCUGAGGAUGAAAGCGGGGGACCGAGCAGCAAUGUUUGGCCUCGCGCCUUUGGAGCGGCCGAUGUCGGAUUAGCUAGUUGGUGGGGUAAAGGCCUACCAAGGCGACGAUCCGUAGCUGGUCUGAGAGGACGACCGGCACCACGGGAACUGAGACACGGCCCAGACUCCUACGGGGGGCCGAGGUGGGGAAUUUUGGACAAUGGGCGAAAGCCUGAUCAGAAAAUGCCGGGGGCGGAAAAAAGGCCUUCGGGUUGUAAACCGCUUUUGGCAGAAACAAAAGGGUGUCCGCUAAAACCGGGCGCUAAGAACGGAACCUGCAAAUAAGCACCGGCUAACUACGUG